GGGGCCGUAGCUCAGUUGGGAGAGCGCGACGUUCGCAAUGUCGAGGUCGGGGGUUCGAACCCCCCCGGCUCCACCA
RNAcentral lists this transfer RNA (76 nucleotides) under Pseudomonadales bacterium. RNAcentral's name for it is "tRNA-Ala". It matches the Rfam family "tRNA". From Rfam's summary of the family: Transfer RNA (tRNA) molecules are approximately 80 nucleotides in length. Their secondary structure includes four short double-helical elements and three loops (D, anti-codon, and T loops). Further hydrogen bonds mediate the characteristic L-shaped molecular structure. tRNAs have two regions of fundamental functional importance: the anti-codon, which is responsible for specific mRNA codon recognition, and the 3' end, to which the tRNAs corresponding amino acid is attached (by aminoacyl-tRNA synthetases). tRNAs cope with the degeneracy of the genetic code in two manners: having more than one tRNA (with a specific anti-codon) for a particular amino acid; and 'wobble' base-pairing, i.e. permitting non-standard base-pairing at the 3rd anti-codon position. The record is from RNAcentral. Lineage: Bacteria; Pseudomonadati; Pseudomonadota; Gammaproteobacteria; Pseudomonadales. RNAcentral also lists the same sequence under 2 other names.